This 86-nucleotide transfer RNA is filed under the name Zasmidium cellare ATCC 36951. It matches the Rfam family "tRNA". Rfam says of the family: Transfer RNA (tRNA) molecules are approximately 80 nucleotides in length. Their secondary structure includes four short double-helical elements and three loops (D, anti-codon, and T loops). Further hydrogen bonds mediate the characteristic L-shaped molecular structure. tRNAs have two regions of fundamental functional importance: the anti-codon, which is responsible for specific mRNA codon recognition, and the 3' end, to which the tRNAs corresponding amino acid is attached (by aminoacyl-tRNA synthetases). tRNAs cope with the degeneracy of the genetic code in two manners: having more than one tRNA (with a specific anti-codon) for a particular amino acid; and 'wobble' base-pairing, i.e. permitting non-standard base-pairing at the 3rd anti-codon position. The record is from Rfam by way of RNAcentral. Lineage: Eukaryota; Fungi; Ascomycota; Dothideomycetes; Mycosphaerellales; Mycosphaerellaceae.
GCCGGGGUAGCUCAAUCGGUAGAGCGUGUGGCUCUUACGCAGCAAAGAAUACCUCAAGGUCGCGGGUUCGAGCCCCGCCUUCGGCU